Mesocricetus auratus (golden hamster) is the source of this 412-nucleotide long non-coding RNA. RefSeq lists it as uncharacterized. The transcript is spliced from 3 exons. The record is from RefSeq and is a predicted model, not a curated record. Lineage: Eukaryota; Metazoa; Chordata; Mammalia; Rodentia; Cricetidae.
CCAGGCUCUGAGGGAGGAGUCAGGGGUCUGAAGAGGAGGCUUCUUUCAGAGAGGUAGCUCGGCUUUGGCUGAGGAAUCAACCUUAGGACCCUGCACAUGUUACGUCCUCAAAGACCCGGCCCACCCCAGGAAUGCCGCCAGCUACCAUGGAUGAUCGUCGGGGCUCAGCUACCAACUCAAUUGAAGAGCUGUGGCCCACAGCAAAGUCUUCACAGCGGUGUGUGUGCAGUGACUCGGGAAGACCCUAAGACUCCUGUGUACGGAAAAAGAAUGUGUAUGCCCAGCAUAGUUGAAAUUACUGGAAAUAAGAGAUAUAUAUCCAGCCGGGCGUUGGUGGCGCACGCCUUUAAUCCCAGCACUCAGGAGGCAGAGGCAGGCGGAUCUCUGUGAGUUCGAGGCCAGCCUGGUCUAC